ACGUAGGAGACAAACGUUAUCCGGAGUUACUGGGCGUAAAGGGCGUGUAGGUGGUUUUGUAAGUCUGGCGUGAAAUAUCUCGGCUUAACCGAGGCAGGUCGUCGGAUACUGCGGAACUAGAGGACGGUAGAGGCGUGUGGAAUUCCCGGUGUAGAGGUGAAAUUCGUAGAUAUCGGGAGGAACACCAGUGGCGAAGGCGGCGACCUGGGCCAAUAUU
This 217-nucleotide ribosomal RNA is filed under the name uncultured prokaryote. Its description in RNAcentral is "partial 16S ribosomal RNA". It matches the Rfam family "Bacterial small subunit ribosomal RNA", at positions 525 to 741 of the family's 1533-position model. The record is from RNAcentral.